This 253-nucleotide ribosomal RNA is filed under the name uncultured bacterium. RNAcentral's name for it is "partial 16S ribosomal RNA". It matches the Rfam family "Bacterial small subunit ribosomal RNA", at positions 524 to 776 of the family's 1533-position model. The record is from RNAcentral.
UACGGAGGAUGCAAGCGUUAUCCGGAUUUAUUGGGCGUAAAGCGUCCGCAGGUGGCUAUACAAGUCUGCUGUUAAAGCGUGGGGCUUAACUCCAUACAGGCAGUGGAAACUGUAAAGCUAGGGUCUGGUAGGGGUCACGGGAAUUCCCAGUGUAGCGGUGAAAUGCGUAGAUAUUGGGAAGAACACCAGCGGCGAAAGCGCGUGACUGGGCCGGAACUGACACUCAUGGACGAAAGCUAGGGGAGCGAAAGGG